Molecule: long non-coding RNA, 1121 nt
Organism: Aedes albopictus (Asian tiger mosquito)
Lineage: Eukaryota; Metazoa; Arthropoda; Insecta; Diptera; Culicidae
Exons: 4
Source: RefSeq, a predicted model, not a curated record
UAGGGAAUUGGUGGUCUUAAAUGAAUCCAGCUGAGCUCAACUACCAACCAGUGGCGACGUUCGAGAAGUUCGAAAAGGACAACUACAGAAUGGAGAAAGGAACUCCAUCGCGGCAGUUUUUGGCGGGAGUGAUAGGUUCUAUAUUCUAAUACCAGCAACCAUUUCAAUUGACUGUUGAAACGACGCUGUGGCUGACUUGCUAUAAAGUUCAUUCGCUCCGAUGAGUACAGACGAACCACUCACGACUCUUCACACCUAACUAUCCAGAGGACGAUCACAUUACGAACAGUAAUCAAAAUAAACUGGACGAUACUAAUUACUCGACGUUGGAACAUUACCGCUGAAUUAUACAAACGAUGAACGACUUCUAUGGACAACGACAAUAAUUGUUGACGGCAAGACACCAAUAGCUUAAUACGAUUUAUGGCAACGAUGAUGACCUACGGCCUACACAUACACUCGUCGCCUCGUUCUAUGGAUUGUAAUCCUAAUUCAACCAGGUGCACAAUGUCGGACAUCGUUGCCCGCACGAAGAUCACUCGCGGAGAAAACACCCAAUGUUUUUCCUUGCUUAUCCGCCAGCUCAUAAGAACUGCUACCACGCUUGGCAACUAUGGUGCAAGGGAUGAACAGCGGUCCAUACUUCGCAUUGUAGUGUUCAGAUGCGGACGACUGGCGAAAAUUACGCUUGUAAACAUUUUGGCCAAUUUCAAACGUCGGGGCCUCCUUCCUGAAACCUUCUGGCGCAAUCUACGUCGCUUCACAUCACGAGAAUCACCAAUUUUGAACGGAACCUGGCGUACUGCAAGUUCGUACUCCACCUCAUCUACCAGCAGAUGACCCGCGUUCAUCAACUGAUACUUUAGAUUAAAUUCAGCAUCCAUGCUACAAAAUUCAAUACAACAAAAUUCAAAGCAAUUUCAAAUUAACAUACAAAUAAACAACAACAAAAAUAAGAAAAAUAAAAAUGCUAAUGUUAAAUUAAGACUAUAGUAGACGAAUUCAAAAUUUCAAAUUCAAUACGAUUUCUCUUAGAUACUUAAUAAGGUAGUAAUUAAAAUGAAAUAAUGUAAGUGUUUGUGUAGUGUGGUGGAUAGUUAAAUUUCAUUCAGGACCUUUUU